Pseudophryne corroboree (corroboree frog) is the source of this 256-nucleotide long non-coding RNA. RefSeq lists it as uncharacterized. NCBI's taxonomy places the organism in Eukaryota, Metazoa, Chordata, Amphibia, Anura, Myobatrachidae. The record is from RefSeq and is a predicted model, not a curated record. The transcript is spliced from 3 exons.
AAGGCAGCAGGAGCAGAGAGCAACCAUUGCUGUGUCUGGCAGCAGGAAUACACAGUAGUGAAGAAGACGCCCAGCUAUCCCCACGUGUCAGGAGGACAUAGGAGGACCCAGAGCCCCAUCCCGGUGCCUCCACCUCACUCACUGAUACAUGAGGGAGACAAUGACCAGAAGAUCCUGGAACUCACCAACAAGAUCAUUCAGCUGCUGACUGGAGAGGAGGGGGAGUAUAUAGAGGAACACAGGGGUCUGUACAAGG